AUAAGAGGUCCAGCCUGCCCAGUGACUAAGUUCAACGGCCGCGGUAUCCUAACCGUGCGAAGGUAGCGUAAUCACUUGUUCUUUAAAUGAGGACUAGUAUGAAUGGCACCACGAAGGUUAUGCUGUCUCCUUUUUCUAAUCAAUGAAACUGAUCUCCCCGUGAAGAAGCGGGGAUACAACUAUAAGACGAGAAGACCCUAUGGAGCUUUAAACCAUGUAACACUGGCUUAUACAUUAAAAUAUUCCAGAAUUUCUCACAAUUACUCUAGCCACCAUGAUUACUAGUUUUAGGUUGGGGUGACCACGGAGCAAAAAUUAACCUCCAUGUUAAACGGAGCUACUCCUGAGCCAAAAGCCACGACUUUAAGCACUAAUAAAUUAAUAUUAAUUGACCCAAUAUUUUUGAUCAACGAACCAAGUUACCCUAGGGAUAACAGCGCAAUCCAUUUUAAGAGCCCCUAUCGACAAAUGGGUUUACGACCUCGAUGUUGGAUCAGGGUGUCCCAGUGGUGCAGCCGCUACUAAAGGUUCGUUUGUUCAACGAUUAAAACCCUACGUGA
Molecule: ribosomal RNA, 560 nt
Filed under: Dendropsophus minutus A
Lineage: Eukaryota; Metazoa; Chordata; Amphibia; Anura; Hylidae
Description: partial 16S ribosomal RNA
Rfam family: Bacterial large subunit ribosomal RNA
Source: RNAcentral